AGUGAACGCUGGCGGUAGGCCUAACACAUGCAAGUCGAACGGCAGCACAGUAAGAGCUUGCUCUUACGGGUGGCGAGUGGCGGACGGGUGAGGAAUACAUCGGAAUCUACUUUUUCGUGGGGGAUAACGUAGGGAAACUUACGCUAAUACCGCAUACGACCUACUGGUGAAAGCAGGGGAUCUUCGGACCUUGCGCGAUUGAAUGAGCCGAUGUCGGAUUAGCUAGUUGGCGGGGUAAAGGCCCACCAAGGCGACGAUCCGUAGCUGGUCUGAGAGGAUGAUCAGCCACACUGGAACUGAGACACGGUCCAGACUCCUACGGGAGGCAGCAGUGGGGAAUAUUGGACAAUGGGCGCAAGCCUGAUCCAGCCAUACUGCGUGGGUGAAGAAGGCCUUCGGGUUGUAAAGCCCUUUUGUUGGGAAAGAAAAGCAGCAGGUUAAUACCCCGCUGUUCUGACGGUACCCAAAGAAUAAGCACCGGCUAACUUCGUG
Molecule: ribosomal RNA, 492 nt
Filed under: uncultured bacterium
Lineage: Bacteria
Description: partial 16S ribosomal RNA
Rfam family: Bacterial small subunit ribosomal RNA
Source: RNAcentral